ACAAGACCAGUCAAAGAACUGUGGAUGUUUCUGCAUGACGAAUUGCCUGUUUUUUCUCGGUGUCUACAAGGAUGCCAAGUGUCAUGGGUUCCAUUUCCUCACGAAAUUGUUCAUAAUGGAUAUUCUUCUUUUGGCACGCAUAUUUUUCUUAUAUAUAGAACUAAUUACUAGAAAUUAUAUGUAUAAUUGUUUGCUAGAGUCUGAAGACUUCGUUCAGGGCCUCUUGCUGCAAGGUUCAUAUACCAGGAAAACCAGCUCAGGAUGGAUGAGGUUGCAUUGGUCAGGACAUCGUCAGAUGGCAGUUCCAAGAGUGUUAAUGUUGAGGGAGCUAGGAGAAUGAUUCUGAAGCAUACAGACUUUUGUUCUGACAUUUUUAGACUCACAAGUUUUUACUGUGGCUUCCACCUCCUCAGCCUCAGAAGCACUAUCUCAGAUUCCUGAUGCGGUGUUUAUACAAGAAGCUGGACAGCUGAGAUGCAGUGGUGCUGAGAUUGCUAGAUUUGUUGCCAUGCUUUGGAAUCCUGCAUCAGUUCUCCAUGCUUGUCCCGCCUUUGCUCUCCUUCAGGUAGCAGGGCAUACUAGUCAUAAAACACUACCACAACCACUUCCGUCGAAGCCAAAGUCUUUGCAAGAAUUGUCCUUAGAAAUUUGGAACACCAUCAGAUGGGGACCUCAACAUGAAAGCACAAGCAGUGGAGCGUGCUAACCUUCCAACAACAAGGGCAUCUCCAGUAACCUUCUCUGCCAGUUGAAAACAUCGUAAAAUUGCGGUUCAGCGCGUGCUUUUUUGGUUCUUCCUGUUGCUCAUUGGGAUGCAAAUGACUGAUCGCUAAUGGGGUACUAGAUUUCGGCAGAUGUCUGCCAACACGCUUGUAAAUUUUCCACCUAAUCACGAGUAAUAGAAGGAAAAAUGAUUAGGAAGCAAACAUCCAUGAACCUGGACUUCUCGUGACAAAAAAGAGUGCUAUUAGAUUCAUAGACUAUGCGCAUGCCUCCAUGUUGAUGCUGCCCCCCUUGGCCGGCUGUGGCGGCCCCAUGGCAGCCUGUGAGAGCUGCCCCUCCGCUUCUCUGGCAAGCUCAGUGGGAAGGGGUUGCUGUCUCUCUUGGCCGGUCCGGUAUGGCGGCUCCCCGCAAAGUGGCCCCUCCGCUUCUCCAGCGAGCUCGGCGGCGGGGAGUCGGGCGACGCCGGAGGGAGUUGAUGCCUUCCUUGCUGGCUGUGGAGGCUCCGUGGCGUCCCGCUCUAUUAAGCAAAUAGGCUCAUCCUAACAUAAACUGAAAAAAAAAAGAGCAGAGCUCUCAUUUGACUUGCUAUCAAUGUGAAAGAUAUUAAACAUUACUACUUGUGGUACUGGUUUGCAGGUUACAGGAGGUGGACAGGUCUGAUAGAUAUCCACAUGUUACAAACAUCAUCGAGCAGCAGCAUAUUUCUGUGUGAUUUCGGCUUAUGCGACGUCCAAUAUUCAUUCCCUUCUCAACAGAGAACCCCAGAAAUACAAACACCUUAAGUGCAAGUAUGCCCAUACAUGAUAUUCAAUCUUAGGGGUUUGCCAAAUGCCAGCGCAUUCUAUGGGGGCAAGGAAUUCUAGGUAGCUCACUGGUGGUUCCUUCACUUAUCAGUAGCAGCGAACACACGUUCACAUCCCAACAACCCUAAGCUGGUGGUUUGACCAGCAAUUUCGUUUUAGUUCCGGUGACUUCACUUGCUAGACUUUUUGUUGUUCUUCAUACCACAUGUAAAUUUGAAUCACUGCACAUGCUUACGGCCCUUCUGUUCCAAAAGGAAUCUAUACGAGUUACCUCCUUCCUUUCUUUCCCAUCUGAAGUUUGGAUUCUGUUAAUCGUGAAGUUUAAUUAUUUAUUUCUAAUGGAUUUUGUUAACUCCCUCCUUUUAUUUUUGUUGUUGGAAUACCAAGCUAGUUCAUGAUGCUUUCAGAUUAGUGCCUUCCACGAUUUGGAAAUCUCAAAUUCAACUUGGGAUAAUAGCUAUUCUCCAGAACCGUGUUGUGACUAGCUUUACUAUAGGAGAGGCCCUUUUUUGAGCAAUAGUUAGUACUUUAUGCUAAUUUGAGGAAGUUAUGAUCAUACUCUCGAAGAAAUUUUCAGAGGAGAGACGAAUAGCACUUUACCAGCAAAAUGUCUAUUAGGUGAGAAUUGGUUCAUGUUAUCAAAUGCCAGCCGUGGAGAAGACGUAACACGGCCGACGGAAGACGGUACGACGCCCUGGCCAGCUCACAGCUGGACCACUGGUCUCAAGUCUCAAGCGAACUAGGCAGUAGCCAACUAGGUACAUGAAGCUGCCAACAUAAAGUUGCACUAGAUCUUGCACCAAACAUCCCCUAAAUACAAACUAGUGGGUAUGUGUUUAAUUCCUUUUUAAUAAAUAACUAUAGUAGUUGUAUUCCCAUGGCAUUUUCUUGGUGGGCAUUGUUGGUUGACUUGACUAAGUAUUGCUAGCAACACUAGUUCUAAAAGAAGUCAUCACAUUGCAUAGCAUAACUAUGGUUCUCCAUUUCCGGUUAGAAAUACAUAUUCAUAUUCUUUCUUUUCUUUGUUCUUAAUCUGGUAGGAAGAGGUUCAAAGCAAAAUGAAGGUGUGCCAGCUAUCUAAAAGUUUUAAUACCUACCAGAAAAUAAAUGGAAGUUAUCUCAAGCACAAUUUUACAAUAUACAAGAUAUAUGUGGCCAUUUUUUCGUGCCCACUAAUCCGAUUUAUUAUAACCUUUUCUCAUCGACAUUAUGCUAAAAUUUUCAUGCUCAUGAAUUUUCAUGAAUUGUGGUUAUUGGCCAAGGAUAGAGAGAAGAUGCUGUACAUUCUGAUGAGAAAAAGGGACCGGGGGUAGUGUCCUAUCAUCAAUAUAUUGCCUAUCCAAGCUCUACCAGGAAGCAUCCAGCAGGAGCUCAAGUGUUGUUACCGAUUAUGUUGGUUGUCUCAGAAAAUGUCAAAUACCACCAAAGGGCUUGGUGUGGCUUUCUCAAUUAAUAAUGCGGAUGGGGUAUGAUAAAAAUCAACACAGGAUGCUUUCUUCUCUUGUGUGUAUUCAUCUUUCACAAAAAAAUAUUGGACUGUAAUGGAUUGCAUACAACCAAAACUCUGGAUUCUUCGGCAUAUUAUGCUCAGGUUAUUGUUUGCUUCAUCCUGAGAGACCACUUAACUGCUUCCAAGAAUUUUUCAUUCCCAUGUGCAUCUGUCCAGGUUUGCAAAAUACUCCUGACGAUUAUGCAUAUAGUUCAUUUUUCUUGACUGUACCAAUUGAUCAGAAUUCUUGAUGUGUGAUUUAUAUGAUGAUGCAUCUUAAUAUUCUGAAUUACGUUGCGGAGAUUGGGCCAUUGUCCCUGAAAGGGUGAGUUGAUGAACAACUCACCUUAAAAUGUUUGACUGGUUAUUCAACUAUGGAAGUCAAUGGAAUAUUAAGUGAUAUGUCAUGGCUCUAAUAGCAAAAGCAAUUUUUUCUCAUUUUCAUCUCUUAUACCUUGGUUCACCUGGUCUUUAUAUACAAAGAAACACAGUUCUUUCUCAAUUUUGCCUGAUUUAAUUUUGAUUAUCUUUGGAAUAGUAGCUUUAUUACUUCCUUUUUGUGGAUAAUGAUGGUAUUGAAUGCCGAUGAAAUAGGGAUUAGAGGAGAAAGUGUCAAAUAAUAGCAUCAGAGCAUGACAUGUCAAUGAGGUAACAUGUUGUCCAUGCUUUGUAUUUAUAUCAGUGGUGCAUGCAUAAAUAAGAAAGCUACAUCUAUAUUCUCUCUUAAAUGCAAAGAAACCUUAAACUUUUUUUUUAAAAAAAAAGGGGAAAGGGAUACAUGCAUGUAUACCUAUUAACCCAUGGAAUAACAACUAAAACCCGGUUUUUGUUACAGUAGAACAAAGCCUACACCCUUUUGAUUCCCCUAGCCUCAAGCUCGUAGGAUUUGACCUAAAAAUCACAUUUCUUAAUCUGUCUAUUAGCAAAGUAGGGCCAACUUGAAUAUGCAUCUGGGGUACCUUAGCUUGUUUUUAUCACAUUACACCCUAUUAUACUAAGCCAUUAUUUUAGUAAAUCACAAUAAUCGUUCAUGGUUCUAACACUCCACUUUUUUGGUCUUACAGCCCUAAUCCCUACCCAAAUCUCUCCACUAGUCUACAAAUGCUACUCCAGAUCCUCAUGUUUUGUGCAAACUUAUGUUUUGAUGAUGGUUGACAAUGAGUUUCUCAAUUGAUUUUUUUCUAAAGUAUAGUAGUUGAACGCUUGAACUCUAAUUUGAUUGUUGUGUUAUUUGUUCUUUUGCUUAGUUAAGUCCAUGCACUGAUGAUGGUUUGAUAUGGAUGCUCGACGGUGGGAAAGAACAGUAAAAAUCGGUGCUACUUGAGAAUAGAGUCAUCGUCCUUAUUGUAACAUAACCCAGGUCGUGAACUGCAAAGCCACUCUUUCAGCCUUUAUAAUUUCUCUGGUCUCUUCGCAACUUAGAAAUUUGUAUCACAUACAGUCAAUCUAUUUUGAGGAAAUUAUUAUUCUCUAUUGCUUGAUGACGGGAAGUUACAUCCUCAUUUCCUGCACAUACUCCAUAUGUGCAACAUUCAAAUGUUUAGUGGCAUCCACAUCCAACCUUCAAAUGUUCUUAAGUUCUUAAAUAACAGAUAGUAAUGUACUUAUACUUUUCGUCUUAUAAAUUUGUGGCUAUUAAAACAACCAAGACCAGCCAAAGAACUGUGGAUGUUUCUGCAUGAUGAAUUGGUCGUUUUUUUUUGGUGUCUACAAGGAUGCCAAGUGUCAUGGAAUUGUUUGCUAUAGAGACUGAAGACUUCGUUCAGGGCCUCUUGCUGCGAGGUUCAUAUACUAGGAAAACCAGCUCAGGCCUCAGAUCUCUACAAGGCCAACAUUGGGGAGUCGUGUGUCGUGCUCGCCUCCAGGGAGGCGACCGGCAUGGUCGCCAUGCAGCUCAUCGUUGUUCUUAACCUGGAUGUCCCUAGCGAGGCAGAGCGGAUUAAGAAGUGUAGGGGCAGGGUGUUUGCUCUACAUGACGAGCCGAAGGUGCCAAGGGUCUGGUUGUCGUUCGACGAUGCACUAGGCCUAGUGAUGGCGUGAUGUUCGGGGACUUUUGCCUGAAAGAUUACGCGGUCAUACCAGUGCCGGAGUUCUUCCAUUGGUCUCCCACAGAAAAGGACCAGUUCAUCAUUCUUGCAUCGGAUGGGGUCUGUUCAAAACAAUGCUGACGAGUCGGAUGCUAAUCAGCUAGAGAAACUGGAGAAACUCCUGACAAAUGCUUUGAGGGAUACGAAAUCCAAGAAGGAACUGGGAAAACCAACAUCAGUGCUGGAAUUGGUAGUGUUGACGAAACAAAAUGGUGAAGGGUGCAGAAGCAGCGCAAACUCCACAAUUGUUAAUGAGCUGGAUUCCAUCCAUUUGUCCAUUAAAAAGGCAUCACAAAUGGAAAUUGUGGAAGAAAUUGGUAGGCAGGUAAGUACCCCUUUCUAUGAUAUCUAUUGAAAAGGGACUGACAAUCUGUAUCAACCUCAUUAUUCGCUUCGUAGUAUUCAUUUUUGAAGGCAUCACACCUUGGGUAUUUAAAUAAACAGAGCAAGUGAAGAGGUGGCAGCAGCAAAGGAGGGACUGCCAUCCAAAUGUACAUAUUGAUACUUGAUACAAUUAUUUCCUUUAAAAGAGAAAAUGAAUAUCAAAAUUGGUGCUUUUGGGGAUAAUAGUGAUACAAGUGCUAUUUGUGCCAAAGCUAUGGCUUGUUGUGCCAAAGCUCAGAUAAUCAGGAUUGAAUGACAUGAGGAUAACGACAGCUUUGAUCUUAACAAGAUGGCUCUAAUCUCCCACCACUAGAGGUCCUAUGCAUAUAGCAUUGAUAUAUUCACGGAGGGGAGAUACCAUCUCAGUCACUUAAAGAGUUGACACAUCAUUGAGUCAUUUCUGCUCCAAGUAUAGUAAAAUUGGAAAUAACCAAUUCUGGAGGUUAAACUCUUAUACUAAUGAUGUUAAGGCUAUUGUUUGUUUCUGAAGGGUAUUCUACGGGUUAUAAUUGUAAGAUAUAUAUAUACCUCUUUUCCACCUUUUGGAAUUCUCUUGUACAUGUAUAUAUUUGGGUACAUUGCCCUCACUUGAAUACAAGUGCUAUUCCUAACAUGGUAUCAGAGCUAGUUCAUCUCAUCUCUAGCAAAACUCUCCUUGAUUUCUUGUUGCUGGAUCUUCAUCAAGGAUGAUUUGGUUUCUUUGCCUUGAAGCCAUCACAUCCUCAUGAUCUAGCCCCUUGUCAAAGAUAGUUGAUCUCUGUUCGUCUUCUUGCUGUGUCGUCGCUGCUCUUCGCCGCAUGUCGUCGCUGUUCUUCGUUGCCGAUCUUGUCGCCCUUCACCGCAGGACGUCGGCAACCUUCGUCGCUGGCCAUCGCUGGUCACCGGUCUUUGUCGCUGGCCGUUGCCGGUCGCCAGCCUUUGUCGCUGGCUGUCACUGGUCGUCGCCGGUCGCCGCUGGUCACCGCCGGCCGUCGCCGGUCACCGUCAGUCAUCGCCGGUCGCUGCUGGCCGGUCGCCACCCUCACGUCGCUCUUCCCCACUCGC
Long non-coding RNA from Oryza brachyantha (malo sina), 6530 nucleotides. RefSeq lists it as uncharacterized. The record is from RefSeq and is a predicted model, not a curated record. The transcript has 23 exons. Lineage: Eukaryota; Viridiplantae; Streptophyta; Magnoliopsida; Poales; Poaceae.